This 253-nucleotide ribosomal RNA is filed under the name uncultured bacterium. RNAcentral's name for it is "partial 16S ribosomal RNA". It matches the Rfam family "Bacterial small subunit ribosomal RNA", at positions 524 to 776 of the family's 1533-position model. The record is from RNAcentral.
UACGUAGGGUGCGAGCGUUGUCCGGAAUUACUGGGCGUAAAGAGCUCGUAGGUGGUUUGUCGCGUUGUCCGUGAAAACUCACAACUCAAUUGUGGGCGUGCGGGCGAUACGGGCAGACUGGAGUACUGCAGGGGAGACUGGAAUUCCUGGUGUAGCGGUGGAAUGCGCAGAUAUCAGGAGGAACACCGGUGGCGAAGGCGGUUCUCUGGGCCUUACCUGACGCUGAGGAGCGAAAGCGUGGGGAGCAAACGGG